Melopsittacus undulatus (budgerigar) is the source of this 147-nucleotide small nuclear RNA. Its record names the gene U1. It matches the Rfam family "U1 spliceosomal RNA". From Rfam's summary of the family: U1 is a small nuclear RNA (snRNA) component of the spliceosome (involved in pre-mRNA splicing). NCBI's taxonomy places the organism in Eukaryota, Metazoa, Chordata, Aves, Psittaciformes, Psittaculidae. The record is from Ensembl.
CCACUUCCUUUAACACCAUAAUCAGGCAGGUGGUUUUCCUAGCAUGAGGCUCAUCCCUUGCACUCCGGGUGUGCUGACCCCUGCGAUUUCCCCAAAUGUGGGAAACUCCACUGAAUGAUUUGUGGCCAUUCAGUGGUUGUUACUGUU